AUCAACUUUCGAUGGUAGGAUAGAGGCCUACCAUGGNGGUAACGGGUAACGGGGUGUUAGGGCACGACACCGGAGAGGGAGCCUGAGAAACGGCUACCACAUCCAAGGAUGGCAGCAGGCGCGCAAAUUACCCAAUCCCGACACGGGGAGGUAGUGACAAUAAAUAACAAUACGGGGUUCUUUAGGAUCUCGUAAUUGGAAUGAGUACAAUUUAAAUCUCUUAACGAGGAACAAUUGGAGGGCAAGUCUGGUGCCAGCAGCCGCGGUAAUUCCAGCUCCAAUAGCGUAUAUUAAAGUUGUUGCAGUUAAAAAGCUCGUAGUUGAAUUUCGGGGUUAGUAGGUUGGUCAUGCCUCUGGUAUGUACUGGUCUCACUGAUUCCUCCUUCCUGAUGAGCCGUAAUGCCAUUAAUUUGGUGUUGCGGGGAAUUUGGACUGUUACUUUGAAAAAAUUAGAGUGUUUAAAGCAAGCUAACGCUUGAAUACAUUAGCAUGGAAUAAUGAAAUAGGACGUUCGAUCCUAUUUUGUUGGUUUCUAGGAUUGACGUAAUGAUUAAUAGGGAUAGUUGGGGGCAUUAGUAUUCAAUUGUCAGAGGUGAAAUUCUUGGAUUUAUUGAAGACUAACUACUGCGAAAGCAUUUGCCAAGGAUGUUUUCAUUAAUCAAGAACGAAAGUUAGGGGAUCGAAGACGAUCAGAUACCGUCGUAGUCUUAACCAUAAACUAUGCCGACUAGGGAUCGGAUGAUGUUAAUUUUUUAAUGACUCAUUCGGCGCCUUACGGGAAACCAAAGUGUUUGGGUUC
RNAcentral lists this ribosomal RNA (799 nucleotides) under uncultured Glomus. RNAcentral's name for it is "SSU rRNA". It matches the Rfam family "Eukaryotic small subunit ribosomal RNA", at positions 314 to 1114 of the family's 1831-position model. The record is from RNAcentral. Lineage: Eukaryota; Fungi; Glomeromycota; Glomeromycetes; Glomerales; Glomeraceae.